AAGUCGUAACAAGGUCUCCGUUGGUGAACCAGCGGAGGGAUCAUUACUGAGUCGUAAAAACUCCCAAACCCAUGUGAACUUACCUAUUUGCUCGCAGCUACGGGACCUACCCUGGUCACGCUACCUUGUAGCCUUGCCGGUGGCACGAUGCUAAUACUCUUGUUUUUUUAUAGAAAUCUGAACGUCUUAUUAAAUAAGUCAAAA
Molecule: unclassified non-coding RNA, 204 nt
Filed under: plant metagenome
Description: partial contains small subunit ribosomal RNA and internal transcribed spacer 1
Rfam family: Eukaryotic small subunit ribosomal RNA (bases 1-46)
Source: RNAcentral